CAACCUCCAUCACCAAGAACCACCUUUUUCCCUCUUUUUCUUCUUGAGCUCGCCAUGUCCCGUCAUUAUGGCCAUCGGAAAAUGAGGUCGGAGAUGCUGCCGGAGCCAAGGUAAGUCUGACCUUCUUCUCCUUUAGUUCAUCUUCUUUCCCUGGCCCUAACGACCCCUCGCCGGCCUUGAUUUCUCUAGAAAUAAAUCGGAAAGAAGAAUGCCUUGUUUUAGUCGAAUUUCUUUCCCAUUUUUCGGCCAUCAGCGUAGCUGUCCCUGAACACCGAACCCUUGGCUGAGCUCCUUGGCUCCUGUAGCUUACUCCACGAUGGAAUUAUGGCUUCCGGUGAUUGGCCAACGACCAAAAACAAAAAGAAGCCUGAUUGCCCUGUUUUUUUGAUUCUUUUUCCUUUGAUUUCUUGCUGGUCGGUCAUGGCCACCGACCGUCCACCAUUGCCCACUACCGGCUAUGAUGUGCUGCCGCACCCAAUCGGACCACUGACCACCACUCCUUCCUCUGUUCUGCCAAGGAAGAAGAAAAAAAACAGAGAGAGAAAGAAGACCCAUCCCUCUCUUUGGUGUUUCUAUCUUUUCUCCCACUCUCUCUUUUUAAGACCAGUUCAAAGCCUUGUUCCGUUAGCUAUAGACCUAAGUUGGCGCAAAGAGGCUCAAGAUUGCCAUAGUACUCGAGCAAUCUGUCAGGCUACUCACCCCGACGAUGAGUGUCUUUGAAAUUUAUUAUUUAUGAAUCUAUUGGUUAAUCUUGAUCUUGAUCCAGUGUUUCACGAUUCUUUGAUCAAAUUACUUAGAUCUGACCCAUUAACAAUCUCCUCUUUUUAUUAUUUAAUUCCAUCAAAUUCAUCAAUAAAAAUUAAUUAUAUUUUUAAUAUUUUAAAUAAGAUUAGCAGAUUUGUUUAGCAAAAUUUAAAAUCUAAGAUGAACGAGAUAAAUAGACCACUCGUUAUAAAUUUUUAAUUAUCAUAUUUUUUAUGCAUAUGUUAUUGAGAAAAUUAUAUUUUUUUUAAAUAAAAGACUAGCAAAUAUGAUGUGAAAAUCAUGCUUUAUAAUGAAAGAUAAUUUUAUAAAUAUUUUAAAUAAAAAAUAGUAUGUUUAUGAAGCAUAAAUUUUAUCAUGUUAUUUAGUACUUUUCUAUCUUUUUAUAUGUAUGUUUUAAAAAAAAAAUAUAAAUACUUUCGAAAGUUCUUGAAUAGCUAUAUAUAACGCCUCAAAUUGGGAAAGAUCAAUAUCCGAAGCUAGUAUCUAUAUGAACACCGAUCCUAUCAAUGAGUAUAAAAUUGAUAUACGAAAUAAAAACUCUAUCAAUUAGAACAUGAGCUCUGUCACGAAUAUAAAAUAAUCGUAGCACAAAAUAUCCGAGAGUAGCAUUUUGAAUUAUAAUAUGGCUAAAUGGCAAAGAAUGAUUUGUGAUUUUGUAUGUACAAUGAAAUCAUAUUUAUGAAUUAUUAAUAGUUGGAGCAUGCAUGAUAUGUUUUAUGACUUAUUUUACCAUACAGUGCUAUGAAAUGCUCUAUUUUUGUAAUACUUGUUAUUUUCUUUAAUUGAUGCAUUGUUAAUGAAAAAUACUUAUGCUUGAUCUGGUUAAAGGUGUAAGUUUUAUUUACUGAGCUGUUCAGCUUAUAUCUGUUAGGAUUUGAUACUUCGAGAUUUGGUCCACAUUGAGCCCACAGCGAGGUCCACGACGACGAACGAAAUCCAACGAGCCUAAGAUCACCUCAAACGGAGUCCAGAUGAUCGAGAUAUGCUUGAUUGAAGUAGGUACGAAAUUCGAAAUGAUGGAGGAUCGCCGGCGGGCCGGUGGAGCAGUGGUGGUGCGGCCGCGCGCGGCCCAGCGCG
This 1842-nucleotide long non-coding RNA is filed under the name Elaeis guineensis (African oil palm). RNAcentral describes it as "long non-coding RNA (EGUI_LNC029031)". The record is from RNAcentral. Lineage: Eukaryota; Viridiplantae; Streptophyta; Magnoliopsida; Arecales; Arecaceae.